ACGUGGGUGAUCCACUCUUUGUGGGGGAUAUCUCUGGGAAACUAGAGUUAAUACCGAUAAGCUCGAGAGAGGAAAGCAAGCAAUUGCGCCAGAGAGAGGAGCCCGCGGCCGAUUUAGCUAGUUGGUGGGGUAAAGGCUCACCAGCAUUAGAUCGGUAGCCGGCCUGAGAGGGCACACGGCCACACUGGCACUGAAACACGGGGCCAAGAACUCCUACGGGAGGCAGCAGUGGGGAAUCUUGCACAAUGGGGGCAACCCUGAUUGCAGCGACGCCGCGUGAGCGAUGAAGCCCUUCGGGGUGUAAAGCUCUUUCGACGGGAACGAUAUUGACGGUACCCGGAGAAGAAGCUGGGGUUAACUACGUGCCAGCAGCCGGGGUAAUUACCGUAAGGCAGCAAGCGUUGUCGGAGUUACUG
This 416-nucleotide ribosomal RNA is filed under the name uncultured bacterium. Its description in RNAcentral is "bacterial SSU rRNA". It matches the Rfam family "Bacterial small subunit ribosomal RNA", at positions 115 to 556 of the family's 1533-position model. The record is from RNAcentral.